GCACGCAAAACAGUGCCCAUGCAACACACCAAACACUUUAAGUUUCUUUUUCCUUUUUCUUUUCUAGAAACAGAAAAUAUUCCAUCUAAAUUUAGCAAUCUUUGUCUUCCCUUUAUAGACUAGCUAGUACCCCAAAAAGGAAUUGAAAGACAGAAAGAGAGAUUUAAAACCUUGGCUUUCCUCUCUUCAUAUUCACAUUCAGGGGUAAAAGAGAAAGAAUUAAGAUGGAUCGUGGGAAAAUAGAGAUAAAGAGGAUCGAGAAUGCGAAUAGCAGACAAGUUACUUUCUCCAAGAGGCGUGCUGGUUUGCUCAAGAAGGCUCAUGAGCUCUCUGUUCUUUGCGACUCUGAGGUUGCCGUCAUCGUCUUCUCCAAGUCCGGCAAGCUCUUCGAGUUCUCAAGUACUGGCAUGAAGCGAACGCUUUUGAGAUACGAGAACUACCAACGUUCUUCAGAUGCUCCUCUGAUUAAAUAUAAACCAGAGAACCAGGAGGAGGAUUGUACAGAGGUGGACUUUUUAAAGAAUGAGAUCUCAAAGCUUCAAGAGAAACAUUUACAAAUGCAAGGUAAGGGCUUGAAUGCUCUGUGCUUGAAAGAGCUGCAACACCUUGAACAGCAACUAAAUGUCUCGUUGAUAUCUGUGAGAGAGCGAAAAGAACUAUUGUUGACUAAACAAAUUGAAGAAUCACGUAUCAGGGAACAGAGAGCAGAGCUGGAAAACGAGACCUUACGUAGACAGGUUCAAGAACUUAGAAAUUUUCUCCCGUCCAUCAACCAAAACUAUGUUCCAUCCUACAUCACAUGCUUCGCUAUAGAUCCCAAGAACUCCCCCGUGAACAACUCUGGCUUGGACGACACUAAUUACAGUCUCCAGAAGACCAAUUCAGACACAACAUUGCAGUUGGGGUUGCCGGGAGAAGCACAGGCUAGAAGGAGGAGUGAAGGAAAUAGAGAGAGCCCAUCAAGUGAUUCAGUAACAACGAGCACCACCAAAGCAACUCCACAAAGGAUCAAUCUAGUUUAGCACCUGAAAACAAAAGCAAAUGGUUCUCUGCUUAGCCACAUAGAAAUAUGGGAAUGAGGCACAUGAUGUUUUCCUCUGUAGCAAGUAUCACAUUAUUUCAAAACCAAUGUUAGAAGAGAUGAAUCCGAUGUAUCUCAUCUCACAUUCUAGUCUAACUCUAACCCCACUCUUUAAUAUUUAUCUCAUUUUCUUCUGAUUA
This is an RNA transcript of Brassica napus (rape), 1221 nucleotides long. It is a transcript of the gene named agamous-like MADS-box protein AGL15, with no coding region annotated. The record is from RefSeq and is a predicted model, not a curated record. Lineage: Eukaryota; Viridiplantae; Streptophyta; Magnoliopsida; Brassicales; Brassicaceae. The transcript has 8 exons.